RNAcentral lists this transfer RNA (79 nucleotides) under Desmophyllum pertusum. RNAcentral's name for it is "tRNA-Ala". It matches the Rfam family "tRNA". From Rfam's summary of the family: Transfer RNA (tRNA) molecules are approximately 80 nucleotides in length. Their secondary structure includes four short double-helical elements and three loops (D, anti-codon, and T loops). Further hydrogen bonds mediate the characteristic L-shaped molecular structure. tRNAs have two regions of fundamental functional importance: the anti-codon, which is responsible for specific mRNA codon recognition, and the 3' end, to which the tRNAs corresponding amino acid is attached (by aminoacyl-tRNA synthetases). tRNAs cope with the degeneracy of the genetic code in two manners: having more than one tRNA (with a specific anti-codon) for a particular amino acid; and 'wobble' base-pairing, i.e. permitting non-standard base-pairing at the 3rd anti-codon position. The record is from RNAcentral. Lineage: Eukaryota; Metazoa; Cnidaria; Anthozoa; Scleractinia; Caryophylliidae.
UCCUUCAUAGCUCAGUGGUUAGAGCGUCCAACCGGCACCUGGAAGGUCAUGGGUUCGAUUCCCGUUGGGGAGCUCAGAA